Small nucleolar RNA from Cervus hanglu yarkandensis (Yarkand deer), 132 nucleotides. Lineage: Eukaryota; Metazoa; Chordata; Mammalia; Artiodactyla; Cervidae. The record is from Ensembl.
AGCCUCCUGAUGCUUACCACAGGCUGUGUUCUUACACUGUAUAGAAAGAGGAGGCAGAGUAAACUCACCCCAUAAACACCUCAGGCCAGGAAGGCCCUGUGCCUUGUCUGUAUUGUGAGUGGGAUGACAUGG